UACAGAGGGGGCAAGCGUUGUUCGGAAUUACUGGGCGUAAAGGGCGCGUAGGCGGCCCGCUAAGUCGAACGUGAAAUCCCCGAGCUCAACUCGGGAACUGCGUCCGAUACUGGAAGGCUUGAAUCCGGGAGAGGGAUGCGGAAUUCCAGGUGUAGCGGUGAAAUGCGUGGAUAUCAAGAGGAACACUCGUGGCGAAAGCGAGCUACUGGACAACUCCUGACGCUGAGGCUCGAAGGCCAGGGUAGCGAAAGGG
Molecule: ribosomal RNA, 253 nt
Filed under: uncultured bacterium
Lineage: Bacteria
Description: partial 16S ribosomal RNA
Rfam family: Bacterial small subunit ribosomal RNA
Source: RNAcentral